Acanthosepion pharaonis is the source of this 100-nucleotide non-coding RNA. NCBI's taxonomy places the organism in Eukaryota, Metazoa, Mollusca, Cephalopoda, Sepiida, Sepiidae. The record is from the annotation of a GenBank genome assembly.
CGUUGAAAUAUUAGUUCCCAUAUGAUCACCAAAUUUAAGCAAUGUUGAGCCUGGUCAGUACCUAGAUAGAUGACUGCUUGGGAAUACCAGGUGCUGUAAG